GACGAACGCUGGCGGCGUGCUUAACACAUGCAAGUCGAACGGAAAGGCCCUGCUUUUGUGGGGUGCUCGAGUGGCGAACGGGUGAGUAACACGUGAGUAACCUGCCCUUGACUUUGGGAUAACUUCAGGAAACUGGGGCUAAUACCGGAUAGGAGCUCCUGCUGCAUGGUGGGGGUUGGAAAGUUUCGGCGGGUGGGGAUGGACUCGCGGCUUAUCAGCUUGUUGGUGGGGUAGUGGCUUACCAAGGCUUUGACGGGUAGCCGGCCUGAGAGGGUGACCGGCCACAUUGGGACUGAGGGACGGCCCAGACUCCUACGGGAGGCAGCAGUGGGGAAUAUUGCACAAUGGGCGGAAGCCUGAUGCAGCAACGCCGCGUGCGGGAUGACGGUCUUCGGGUUGUAAACCGCUUUCGCCUGUGACGAAGCGUGAGUGACGGUAAUGGGUAAAGAAGCACCGGCUAACUACGUG
This 468-nucleotide ribosomal RNA is filed under the name uncultured bacterium. RNAcentral describes it as "partial 16S ribosomal RNA". It matches the Rfam family "Bacterial small subunit ribosomal RNA", at positions 28 to 507 of the family's 1533-position model. The record is from RNAcentral.